This is a long non-coding RNA of Hippocampus comes (tiger tail seahorse), 326 nucleotides long. RefSeq lists it as uncharacterized. The transcript is spliced from 3 exons. The record is from RefSeq and is a predicted model, not a curated record. NCBI's taxonomy places the organism in Eukaryota, Metazoa, Chordata, Actinopteri, Syngnathiformes, Syngnathidae.
UGUCGCAGCGUGCUCAACUUCCACUUGUGGCUGCCAAACAUCUGACGGGGCUCAAAUUUAAAGCUGAUGAGAAAACAAAACAGAUGCCGUGAGCGAGUCACCUGGCUGGUCUGGCCAGCUUUGAUGUUUGGUCCUCGCACCAGGAGAGGAACGCGGAUGUCAAACUCGUACAGCUGCCGCUUGUCCAGAGGGAGAGAAAACUGACCUGCAGGUCGUCCACCGACAGCAACGUCCGCCAUCUGCACCCACAGCGCAGCGUUACACACAGCAGCGCGUCCCUUCGCCGCCAGGAGGGCGGCGGACACAUCGGCGAAGGCGGACCGCUU